UAUUGGACAAUGGGCGAAAGCCUGACCCAGCCAUGCCGCGUGUGUGAAGAAGGUCUUCGGUUUGUAAAGCACGAUAAGUGGGGAGGAAGGGCAGUAAGUUAAUACCUUGCUGUCUUGACGUUACCUACAGAAUAAGCACCGGCUAACUUCGUGCCAGCAGCCGCGGUAAUACGAAUGGUGCAAGCGUUAAUCGGAAUUACUUGGCGUAAAGCGCACGUAAGUGGUUUGUUAAAUUGGAAGUGAAAGCCCCGGGCUUAACCUGGGAACUGCUUUCAUAACUGCUGAGCUAGAGUACGGUAGAGGGUAGUGGAAUUUCCUGUGUAACGGUGAAAUGCGUAGAUAUAGGAAGGAACACCAGUGGCGAAGGCGACUACCUGGACUGAUACUGACACUGAGGUGCGAAAGCGUGGGGAGCAAAC
RNAcentral lists this ribosomal RNA (419 nucleotides) under uncultured bacterium. RNAcentral's name for it is "partial 16S ribosomal RNA". It matches the Rfam family "Bacterial small subunit ribosomal RNA", at positions 362 to 773 of the family's 1533-position model. The record is from RNAcentral.